This 63-nucleotide transfer RNA is filed under the name Hyalopterus pruni. RNAcentral describes it as "tRNA-Asp". The record is from RNAcentral. RNAcentral also lists the same sequence under 1 other name. Lineage: Eukaryota; Metazoa; Arthropoda; Insecta; Hemiptera; Aphididae.
AAGAAAUUAGUUAAAAUAUAACAUUAAUUUGUCAAAUUAAAAUUAUCUAAAAAAUAUAUCUUA